Molecule: non-coding RNA, 74 nt
Organism: Dallia pectoralis (Alaska blackfish)
Lineage: Eukaryota; Metazoa; Chordata; Actinopteri; Esociformes; Umbridae
Source: the annotation of a GenBank genome assembly
CCCUAUUUGGAGCAGUCGGUAGUGCGCUCAGCUGUGGAGUCAGAGGUCGCCGGUUCGAAUUCCUGCUGUCGGAU